UCCGAUUGGUCGAGAACGUUUUGAAAUCGCAUUUUGUAGCGCGCAUGUGCGUACAGCGUCUCGGCCGUUCCAGCAUAGUUUCGAAAUAGCAUGGCCGGCAUGUUGUCCUCCUGUGUUCGGUGGUGUCAAUCGACAGAACAGUUUGCAGAAAUAUGUUCGCGAGUUUAUUAGUUCGUCCUUGUGAGUCUACGCGUGUUGUGCUGUUUCUGGACACAACUGUUAUCCCACGAACAAUUUGUCAACUGCGGUACCGGAAUGCUUCAUGAGUUGGAGCGUGAAGAACAAGUUCGAGCGCCGUUGGACUUCGAGGACUGUCAACAAAGACAGGAUUACGUGCCACACAAGCGCUUUUCGCUUCGCUAUAAUGAAUGCACCGCAGGCAGCGAAAGAAGAUGCCCAUCAUGAAAUGGUACGCACUCAUGAGACUGGCUCGGUAUUAGGAGUUGAACGGUGUGUUCGUUCUGCUUCAUGUUCGAGCUUUGUCCCAGUGUGUCACCAACGCAGUGGGCUUUGUACGCACAGUGCACCCAUGUAUCAGAUCUUUGAAUUAAUGCUUUGUAUCAAAUAAAUCUUUAUUUUACCCCAAAAUCGCUUUAGUUAUUUUGAAUACCGAGUAACGGCGGCAGGCCUGAAAUCCAGUAGAAGUCGAUGGUAGCCAGGACCGACCGAAAGGCCAGCCAGACAUGGAGGCUCCUGAUUGGCCGACUGGUUGUGCAUAAUAUCCACCACGUCCCAAUUUCAUUGGUCGUGUGCCCAGUGUUGUGUGAAUUAUCUCAAACUAUGUGCUCUAUGGGGAGCUGUUGGAGCCUGGCCGAACUCCUUUCUGACUUCGUGACUCUCCUGCCUCUCCUCUCUUGUUUACCCUCUCCUCCUCUCUUUCGACCAGCGCAGCGCCACGUGACUUCUGCACCACGUGACCCUCUCCUUUUGAAUUUGCAAGUCUGUGCACGCGCUUUUCGCGCUGAGAGCCACCUCGUUCGCGUUGGAAAAAGUCCGCGUGAUUUCAAAUGUUUGUGAGCAAUUCCUUCAUGGUAGUACAGGUGUUGUUGUAACUUCGUACUGAAUACUGAAGCUCUUACUUCUAGCUAUUGUUUUUGCGAUCUGUGCAACAUUGUACUGCAUGUACGCGAAAGCGUUUCAGGCCAGUCGCCGGCGGUUUAAUCUGUAAUCUGUCGGUUCUGGAACGUCGAAGUUCGUGGUUGUCUUGGAUGCUAGUUCCGAACCUGAAGCUAUUCCCGGGUCCGUUUACAGGAUUUCAGCCAUUUUUCAGGUAUGUAGACGAUGUAUCAAAUAUGCUUUUGUGAGUGACAGGCAUUCCCGUUCUUCUUCUUUUUUUUUUCUUUUUGCUUUUAUCUCUUCUUGCAGGCAUUGUGAGCGCUGAUAAUGAGAUCGCAAGAUGCAAUGCGGUGUGACUGUUACUAAUCGCUCUCUGUGCAACGGUUAAGUCCGUCCGAAGCGGCAGGCAAUGGAUGGUUUACAGGAUUUCAGCCAUUUUUCAGGUAAGUAGACGAGGUAUCGGAUAUGCUUUUGUGAAUGACAGGCAUCCCUGUUGAAAAAACUCAUAUAACUUUCUAUGUGUAAAGAAAUGAGCAAUAUGUGUAAAGAAAUGAGCAAUAUGUGAAAGGCAAUGAGCAGUAUGAGCAGCGCUAUGGGCAGUAUGAGCAAUGUUAUGAACCGCACGGCGAGGCCAACGACGCACUAUGUGCGCAGAUAUAAGCAAUACGAGAAAAGCAAUGAGCAGUAUGAGCAACGUUAUGCGCAGUAUGAGCUGCAUUUCGAGCAAUAUGAGAAAGAUAUGAGCAGUAUGAGCAGUAUGAGAAAGGCUGACCGUUUAGUUAACCAAUUAUUCACCUAGAAGUGCUGGCGCCACAGCGUCUGGUGAUGGCCUUUCAAGAGACGCUCGUCACACUCGGCGGGCCGUAACGGUCGCAGCUCCAUUCCCUUUCGUCCGAUUCUGUUCAAAUUUUAGGUGCAUAUUUCCCGUUCCGAUCGUGUCCUACAUUCUCUUUGGCUCCUGGAUUCUCAUCCAAGCCGUUGCGAGUGCCAUCUUAGUGCUUGGACGCUUACUUGCUUAUUCUACCCUGCUUCUCGGAGCCGUCUGGACGUAUUUCGCUCCGCUCUGCGUGGGACUCAUAUUUUCGUCGCCGUCUCCAUGCUGUGACAGUGUCUUUGUACCGUUUCAGUGAUCACUGAAGAUGUUUUGUGUGUGUACCUUAGAAUCAAACUACAAAAGCCGUGGCAGGUGUGUGCGCAUUACAGGUACGUUGCAGUCCCGUUUUUCCGUUAUCGCUCUUUAUGUCUGUCGGGUUAGCUGUCUGCAACUACCAUAUUCGUGCUUUUUUUUACUUUUUGUGGAAAGCCGGUUCGCUGAUAGCCUUUGCAUGUGUGUAUAGAGUGUUUCAAAUAAAGUCGUGCACAAGGGCAUACCGAAAUCGCAAGUUAGCAUGCAAAAAAAAAUAAAAAGUCUAUUUCGAUGCCCCAAAGUCAAGUAAGCCACGAACACUCUGUGUCAGUAACCCGCUGCUGCAGCGAACAAGUACAUGCACUCAGUUUUGCAACCACAACGCAAACAUACUCAGAUGUUUCAGAACCGCGUUCAUUGGACAUCACCAGCAUUAGAGGAAGGUUACGUUAAAUUUUAAUCGACAAAAUGACCUCGUGCGUUAUUCUGACUGACUAAAUACAACUUAAUGCUUUGAAGGUGUGAUCUACGCGUUGGGAUGAGAAACAGGCCCCAGUCAUGUCCAUUUCAGCAUGAACCCAUACGUCUGUAUAAGUUGUGGGAACUGGAAUACUUGUAGGCGCAGAAAUUUAGCGCAGUUCUAAUUUUGUUCGUUCUUUUCAACAGAUACCUUCGUCAAAUAUGCAGAAAACGGUAAACUAUCGCCAUCAAAGGUGCCUGUACAGAAACGGAAAAAGCUCAUCAAAAGCAUUUGGCAAGCUUUCUGAGGGACCUACGUCGCGCCAGUACCUGAAUAAACCGGUAUUUUGUAAUCACGUGUUGUCAUUUUAGCCUAAUCACGCCAUGUUGCACGUUUGUUCAGACGGUUGUGCAUUCAUGUACAUGAAUACGCUGUAUGAGAGUGCUCAUAUAGCUCAUACGCUGUUUGAGAGAGUGCUCAUAUAGUUCAUACAUGCUCAUAUAGCUCAUACAUGCUCAUAUAGCUCAUACAUGCUCAUAGGAGCUCAUAUGAUUGCUCAUACAAUAAACACAUAUACGAGGCUCAUAUGAUUGCUCAUACAGGUGGCUGUAUGGUUUUUUUCGACAGGGAUUCCCGUUCUUUUUUCUGCUUUUACCUCUUCUUGCAGGCAUUGUGAGCGCUGAUGCAAGCGGCAGGCAAUGGAUGGAGUCGUCGCGAGCUGGUAAUGAAACUCGUUCUCCCCGACGUUGGAUCAAAAAGGCAAAUUGGACGGGAGAUCACGAGUCCCCAAGUCUACGAAAAGACAGAAGAACACCAUCGCCGACGAGAUGACUGCUUGAAGUAAAAUGUUUAGUCGCCGUUAUUCCUUGGUUGGACAUUGCGGAUACGUGCCCCAUGAGUUUAAGCUUUGUUGAUUACGGCGUGUGUGUUGAUGAUCAACGGUACGCUUUCAAGGACAUGUAAGUGCUGAAUCAAGUUUGUGUUGUAAUUGGUUACUGUUUCGUGUGGUUUCUUGUAAGCGAUCCCCAUCUCGAUGAUGAAUGCUCACGCUUCUGAAAGCCAUGUAAAUAACAGUUGUGUGAUUUGAGGCUGUUUUGAUACUCCUACUAAUUUGAGGACAGCGCCAGAGGCGCAGUGCAAACGAAUGAAUUUGGACCUUGCUGUGCCAACGUCACAGCGCAUUUAGGUAGCAAAUUGUUGCAGACUGGUGUUUACGUCAGGGUCAUUUUACGCCAAAUGGUUCAAAGGUUCUGCGCCCCCAGUUCUUUAUAAAGAAAAGAAAUGGUGCGUCUUCGCAAUUGCGGUUAACGGAACCCCCCCCCCCCAAAAAAAAAAAACGACAGUGCUUCACAGCUCCACCCUAUAGUGGCUACUUAUAACGUAGAGGGAUUGCAAUACAGUGGCAGUACUAUUUUGAAUGCCCAAGACUAAUGUGUCCUUCCCUUUCCCCGGUCGCACUGCGGGCAGUCUCCCGAAUUUUGAGUUCGUCAGGUUGGAAGGUAUGCGAACGUGACGUUCGGAUCAUUUGGCGAAUGAAUGACGCAUAAGGAUUGCCUGGUGUCGUUUUUUCAUAGAGUUAAUUUACAUUUGUCAGCUGAACAUAACAAUGUUCAACUGACAAAUAUUGGACUGUGGUGUUAUGAGUGGUGUUGCUAUCUAGUCCAUUCCUUUCUGUAUGUCACUUGAAAAGCAUUAUGCAUGCAGGCAUUCUAUUAAAGGGUAGUUCAUUCGACAGCAUUUUUGGGCGCUCAGUAUCUAUUGGAAUUUGUUCGUAAAUUAUUGCGACUUGAUAUUUUGCGUUUGAGGAGUUACAGAGUCAGCCUGAUCAGGGAAUAUAAGUAACCGGAGUUUAAUAUUUCAAUAUUAUUUCUACAAGUUCAACAAUAUAUGUUGUGAUAUUAUGGACAUUACUAUGUAGUCAUUGUCUAGCCGUUGAUAAGCGCUUGUGCCAUUAUUGGUUUAUCGCAUGCUGCGCGAUCGUAAAGUGCAUACGCUGGUCACUUUUGCAGUGUUUUAAUAGCUUUACUUAAAAUAAAGUUUUGUCAAAAUGUG
Molecule: long non-coding RNA, 4694 nt
Organism: Ornithodoros turicata
Lineage: Eukaryota; Metazoa; Arthropoda; Arachnida; Ixodida; Argasidae
Exons: 2
Source: RefSeq, a predicted model, not a curated record